GAGUUUGAUCAUGGCUCAGAACGAACGCUGGCGGCAUGCCUAACACAUGCAAGUCGAACGAGCCCUUCGGGGCUAGUGGCGCACGGGUGCGUAACGCGUGGGAAUCUGCCCUUAGGUACGGAAUAACUCAGGGAAACUUGAGCUAAUACCGUAUAAUGACUCCGGUCCAAAGAUUUAUCGCCUAAGGAUGAGCCCGCGUAGGAUUAGCUAGUUGGUGAAGGUAAAAGCUCACCAAGGCGACGAUCCUUAGCUGGUCUGAGAGGAUGAUCAGCCACACUGGGACUGAGACACGGCCCAGACUCCUACGGGAGGCAGCAGGUGGGGAAUAUUGGACAAUGGGCGAAAGCCUGAUCCAGCAAUGCCGCGUGAGUGAUGAAGGCCUUAGGGUUGUAAAGCUUCUUUUACCCGGGAUGAUAAUGACAGUACCGGGAGAAUAACGCCCGGCUAACUCCGUGCCAGCAGCCGCCGUAAG
This 472-nucleotide ribosomal RNA is filed under the name uncultured Alphaproteobacteria bacterium. Its description in RNAcentral is "bacterial SSU rRNA". It matches the Rfam family "Bacterial small subunit ribosomal RNA", at positions 9 to 524 of the family's 1533-position model. The record is from RNAcentral. Lineage: Bacteria; Pseudomonadati; Pseudomonadota; Alphaproteobacteria.